AGCUCGAAAGAAAGAGAGAGAUUGGUUUCUAGGGUUUACAGGGUUUUGAUUUUCCUAUCGAUCCGACAAUUGUCAGGUUACUUUCUAUUUGCUUGCUUUUGGAUUUUGAUUUUCUCAUUUCUCUUUAUCUGUUUGGUUGCGGAGUAAGUGUAGAAAAAGGAAAUUUUAUUUUGCUGGAAUUUUUUUCUUCCCUUUAAUGCAACUAGCUUGAUAAGUGUAAAGUUUUAGAGCAGAUUACGAACAUUGAGAGAUUAUCUGCUUUCUUUUUCGCUCAUCCAACUUUAGGUUAAGAUUUCAAUGGGGGUGCUUAUCAAAAGCGCAAAUGGAAUCUUAAAUCGUACGAGUUUCACGCGAUUCGUGUACUUAGUUUACUGGUUGCUUAUGUCUACUGGUUUUCUGAAUUUGGUUCUCCUCAAUUAGUUUCUUGCAUGUGGGUUGUGGGUUUAAUGCCCAAAUCCUAAUGGAAUGCCUACAUUUCCUUUGAAUGCUAUCUAUUUCAGGUAGUUCAUAAAAUCUUAUGAUUUUACUUUGGUGUUACAUUUAGAAACUAAGGGCCUGAUUCUGGGAUGAGAAAUGAGAAAAUAGAGGAGAAACAAAGGAUUAUGUCUGCGCUGCUCGAUUAAUUAGUUUAUAAUAGGGAGUUAAAUAGUGAUAUUCCAAAACAUAUUAUAUUGCCUCCAUGUCUAACUAAAAUUUAGUUAUCUCCUAAACCAAUAUAGACCCAUGUAAUUUUUUGCUUAACCUCAAAUCCUUCAUGCUCUAGAUCAUCAAAAACUGUUACUUUUCAAUCGUUUUCUGAUCGGUCUGCUGUUUUAUAAGAUUCAUAUGUUUUGCAUCCUCCCGCCUGUAUUCUUGGGGUUGGAGUGCGCCAUCUAAAUUUUAAGUGGACGCUCUGCUCAUUUGAAGGAGCAUAUUGGUAUUUGGGGGAAGUUAAAGAGUUGAAAAAACUAUGGUUUGUAUUAAUAAGGGGUAACAAGUGCAUUGAGAGCCCUGCAAACAUGGUUGGACAUGUGCAUUUCACUUCAUCCUAGUAAAGAAUUUGAGAAUGGCAUUUCAAAUGCUCCUUUGCUGGUAACAGACUAAUUCCAUAUGUUUUCUUUUAUACUUUUCAGCUUUGUUGGCAUAAAGCUUGGCUGUGAGUUUUUCCUCGCAAGAUGACUGGAAUCUUGGGAUUCAGGAACCUUUCACCGAAGACUAAGAAUUUGGUAGUUGCUGGUGGCUUGUCAGCAUUUGUCUUGGGGGUAUAUUUUUACACUAUGAGAGCUGUUGGUGGUACAGAUGAGCUUCAGGUUGCUAUAGAUAAGUUUGAAGGACAGAAAAGCAAGCAGGAUGCUUGAGGCAAGCAGGCUACUGAAGGCUUGAUCUUAUGAUCUUUGGUGUAAUAAUGUAAUCACAGACCGAGGAUAAUCUUUUUGAAAAGCUGUCUUUUGUUUGCUUGGCAAGAUUGCAUUUUACUUUGAUCUGUAUGGAAAAUUGAAAAUGAAAAGAAGCUAGCUAGUUCUCAAGUUUUGUCCACCAGCUUUACGAUUGUGAAUAAAUAAGCACUGAAUGGCCUCGGCAGAUAUCCACACAGACGGUUUGCCUGUUGGAUUAGUAAUUUAUCUCUGUUAUGACUUUAUGACUCUGCAGCCUAACUGUCGUGUGUAUCAGUAACUAUAAUUUGGCCUACAGAUAAUAGAAGUAUUUUCUCUUGAAAGUCGGCCGUUGUGCUUUAGGCGUAAAUAUCCUUAUUUUCCCUUGCCACUUGCAUCCAAAAGAAUUCUACUUUUUACGGCUCGUUUGGAUAUGAUUUGUGGUAGUUUCAUACUCCAAAUUUUAUUUUUUACAGCUUGUUUAGAUCAUUGUUUAUGUAUUUUUACGGCUCUUGGACGAUGGUUUGUGGUGGUUUUAU
RNAcentral lists this unclassified non-coding RNA (1891 nucleotides) under Hevea brasiliensis (rubber tree). Lineage: Eukaryota; Viridiplantae; Streptophyta; Magnoliopsida; Malpighiales; Euphorbiaceae. The record is from RNAcentral.